RNAcentral lists this transfer RNA (87 nucleotides) under Minisyncoccota bacterium. Its description in RNAcentral is "tRNA-Ser". It matches the Rfam family "tRNA". From Rfam's summary of the family: Transfer RNA (tRNA) molecules are approximately 80 nucleotides in length. Their secondary structure includes four short double-helical elements and three loops (D, anti-codon, and T loops). Lineage: Bacteria; Bacillati; Minisyncoccota. The record is from RNAcentral.
GGAGGCGUGGCUGAGUGGUUGAAGGCACCUGUCUUGAAAACAGGAGAUGGUGAAAGCUGUCCGUGAGUUCGAAUCUCACCGCCUCCG